Bombus huntii is the source of this 1301-nucleotide long non-coding RNA. RefSeq lists it as uncharacterized. The transcript has 2 exons. The record is from RefSeq and is a predicted model, not a curated record. Lineage: Eukaryota; Metazoa; Arthropoda; Insecta; Hymenoptera; Apidae.
AAAUUACAUAUUCUAUUUUGAAAUAAUGAUAUUGUUGAAGAUGUUGAAGAUGUAUGUAGAUGGAAUUUUGUGUUAGAUAUGGGUGAAAUUUAAUGGGAGAUCGAUAUAAAAUUACGUAGCUGUUGAAUUUGGAAGCGAACAAAAGUGAUCCUUCUUGGGGAUUGCAGGUAUUGGAAUUAGAUAUUGGUAAAAAUGUAGGUGAAGUAUUAUAACUAAUUAUAAGCAAUCUAAAGCUUGAUCUAAAUGAAAUUUUCAUAAUUUCUUUUAUACGUACAUUAUUUCUCGUUGUGUAUUAUUAUGCUACUGCCGAAUGACCUGUUUAUAAGUACUAAUUGUCUCCAUGUGUUGUUUUAAUAGAACAUAACAUGGUGGUGGUUGUAGAAAGGCACUACAUUACGAGUUUCCGUAAUGGGUAAAAAUAUCUGUUUUUUCAACCAAAUUGCACGAACCACUCUUAAUUUAUAUAAACUUAAUUGAUUACUCAAUAAUUUGGUUUAAAAUGAACAAAGAAAGAAAAGAAUGGAAAUCGGUCCCGAUACAAAGUCGAAUGAAUUCGUUCGAACACUCAUUCGAGCUUUUUAUACGCAGCUCGAACAAAACAUGGCCCAAUUUUUCAGAUCCCCGAUAAUCGGUGCCAUAUAGCUGACCUAUCUUUUUUUAUUUGCUUCGUCACGUGACCGAUCAGAUCCUUCCAUUUAUUCUUCCAACAUUUCACUCUGCACUGGCAAAAAAAAUUUAAAUAUAUGUAGAAAUAAUGAAAAAGCCUAGAUUGACCGUAAUUAGUAUGGAAUUGACGCAUUCCACAAAGAUACAGGUUGAGAACCAUCUGUUUAGAGUGCACUUGCAAGACACACAGCGCCGUACAUAGUUGGAACGUUAGCCUCAUAUCCACCCACCACGUUAUUACCGACAACUCCCAGUUAUACGCUUAAUGUGCGAGCUGAAUUCAUCGCGCGCGAUUGUGCGAACUCGAAGAUCAUCCUUCUCGAGGAACUUUUAAAAGUUGCAAUUGGUACAUACAACCCUGCAUCUCUCAUCUCUUUCUUUUAGAUAAACUACGGCUUUCUUCAUCGAUGAAGAACUUUGAAGCUCAACCCUUUAUGAUAUAAAUUAUAUGUGACAUUUAAUGCAAUACAUGCAAUGUAUUUUAAAAUUAGAACAUUGGAACUUGUGGAUUUGGUAAUGCACUUACAUAGAACUUAAAUAUUCUUGGUAAAACUUGGAGGUUUCUUUUAGUGCAAUCCAGGAGAUUGAUUGUUAUAAGGAACGAACUCUAAAAAUAUAGAGAUUCUCAGAUCGAA